GGGGCUGUUUUGAUUCGACAGAGUUUUCGUAGGUAUGGGUACAAGUAGUAGGCGUACUUAAAACGCAACAAUAAAAUAAUCGGAAACGAUAUUGAUAAUUUUGCACCUGCUUUUGCCUAAUUAGGUAGAAGGUGCGUUUAGCUUACUCUUUGUUCACGAGAGUAAUGUCUAGACUCAUAAAAGUGAACUAUAUUAUGAAUUGUUUAGGUUUCAUAAUGAAAAAUACUAAACUUAGGCUAAUAUUGGAUCGUUGGCUCUCCUAAAUAUUAGCUAAAAUAUAAACCAACUAAACUUGUAAGAAUGCCUGUAUACUUGAUGCUUUGGACACGAAGUCGCUCUUCGUCAGCUCCACC
RNAcentral lists this transfer-messenger RNA (353 nucleotides) under pig gut metagenome. It matches the Rfam family "transfer-messenger RNA". Rfam says of the family: Bacterial tmRNA, also known as 10Sa RNA or SsrA, is named for its dual tRNA and mRNA-like properties. Its role is to liberate the mRNA from a stalled ribosome. The record is from RNAcentral.